GGGUUGUGAGGUUAAGCGACUAAGCGUACACGGUGGAUGCCCUGGCAGUCAGAGGCGAUGAAGGACGUGCUAAUCUGCGAUAAGCGUCGGUAAGGUGAUAUGAACCGUUAUAACCGGCGAUUUCCGAAUGGGGAAACCCAGUGUGAUUCGUCACACUAUCAUUAACUGAAUCCAUAGGUUAAUGAGGCGAACCGGGGGAACUGAAACAUCUAAGUACCCCGAGGAAAAGAAAUCAACCGAGAUUCCCCCAGUAGCGGCGAGCGAACGGGGAGGAGCCCAGAGCCUGAAUCAGUGUGUGUGUUAGUGGAAGCGUCUGGAAAGGCGCGCGAUACAGGGUGACAGCCCCGUACACAAAAAUGCACAUAUUGUGAGCUCGAUGAGUAGGGCGGGACACGUGGUAUCCUGUCUGAAUAUGGGGGGACCAUCCUCCAAGGCUAAAUACUCCUGACUGACCGAUAGUGAACCAGUACCGUGAGGGAAAGGCGAAAAGAACCCCGGCGAGGGGAGUGAAAAAGAACCUGAAACCGUGUACGUACAAGCAGUGGGAGCACGCUUCGGCGUGUGACUGCGUACCUUUUGUAUAAUGGGUCAGCGACUUAUAUUCUGUAGCAAGGUUAACCGAAUAGGGGAGCCGAAGGGAAACCGAGUCUUAACUGGGCGUUAAGUUGCAGGGUAUAGACCCGAAACCCGGUGAUCUAGCCAUGGGCAGGUUGAAGGUUGGGUAACACUAACUGGAGGACCGAACCGACUAAUGUUGAAAAAUUAGCGGAUGACUUGUGGCUGGGGGUGAAAGGCCAAUCAAACCGGGAGAUAGCUGGUUCUCCCCGAAAGCUAUUUAGGUAGCGCCUCGUGAAUUCAUCUCCGGGGGUAGAGCACUGUUUCGGCAAGGGGGUCAUCCCGACUUACCAACCCGAUGCAAACUGCGAAUACCGGAGAAUGUUAUCACGGGAGACACACGGCGGGUGCUAACGUCCGUCGUGAAGAGGGAAACAACCCAGACCGCCAGCUAAGGUCCCAAAGUCAUGGUUAAGUGGGAAACGAUGUGGGAAGGCCCAGACAGCCAGGAUGUUGGCUUAGAAGCAGCCAUCAUUUAAAGAAAGCGUAAUAGCUCACUGGUCGAGUCGGCCUGCGCGGAAGAUGUAACGGGGCUAAACCAUGCACCGAAGCUGCGGCAGCGACGCUGAUGCGUUGUUGGGUAGGGGAGCGUUCUGUAAGCCUGCGAAGGUGUGCUGUGAGGCAUGCUGGAGGUAUCAGAAGUGCGAAUGCUGACAUAAGUAACGAUAAAGCGGGUGAAAAGCCCGCUCGCCGGAAGACCAAGGGUUCCUGUCCAACGUUAAUCGGGGCAGGGUGAGUCGACCCCUAAGGCGAGGCCGAAAGGCGUAGUCGAUGGGAAACAGGUUAAUAUUCCUGUACUUGGUGUUACUGCGAAGGGGGGACGGAGAAGGCUAUGUUGGCCGGGCGACGGUUGUCCCGGUUUAAGCGUGUAGGCUGGUUUUCCAGGCAAAUCCGGAAAAUCAAGGCUGAGGCGUGAUGACGAGGCACUACGGUGCUGAAGCAACAAAUGCCCUGCUUCCAGGAAAAGCCUCUAAGCAUCAGGUAACAUCAAAUCGUACCCCAAACCGACACAGGUGGUCAGGUAGAGAAUACCAAGGCGCUUGAGAGAACUCGGGUGAAGGAACUAGGCAAAAUGGUGCCGUAACUUCGGGAGAAGGCACGCUGAUAUGUAGGUGAGGUCCCUCGCGGAUGGAGCUGAAAUCAGUCGAAGAUACCAGCUGGCUGCAACUGUUUAUUAAAAACACAGCACUGUGCAAACACGAAAGUGGACGUAUACGGUGUGACGCCUGCCCGGUGCCGGAAGGUUAAUUGAUGGGGUCAGCGCAAGCGAAGCUCUUGAUCGAAGCCCCGGUAAACGGCGGCCGUAACUAUAACGGUCCUAAGGUAGCGAAAUUCCUUGUCGGGUAAGUUCCGACCUGCACGAAUGGCGUAAUGAUGGCCAGGCUGUCUCCACCCGAGACUCAGUGAAAUUGAACUCGCUGUGAAGAUGCAGUGUACCCGCGGCAAGACGGAAAGACCCCGUGAACCUUUACUAUAGCUUGACACUGAACAUUGAGCCUUGAUGUGUAGGAUAGGUGGGAGGCUUAGAAGUGUGGACGCCAGUCUGCAUGGAGCCGACCUUGAAAUACCACCCUUUAAUGUUUGAUGUUCUAACGUUGACCCGUAAUCCGGGUUGCGGACAGUGUCUGGUGGGUAGUUUGACUGGGGCGGUCUCCUCCUAAAGAGUAACGGAGGAGCACGAAGGUUGGCUAAUCCUGGUCGGACAUCAGGAGGUUAGUGCAAUGGCAUAAGCCAGCUUGACUGCGAGCGUGACGGCGCGAGCAGGUGCGAAAGCAGGUCAUAGUGAUCCGGUGGUUCUGAAUGGAAGGGCCAUCGCUCAACGGAUAAAAGGUACUCCGGGGAUAACAGGCUGAUACCGCCCAAGAGUUCAUAUCGACGGCGGUGUUUGGCACCUCGAUGUCGGCUCAUCACAUCCUGGGGCUGAAGUAGGUCCCAAGGGUAUGGCUGUUCGCCAUUUAAAGUGGUACGCGAGCUGGGUUUAGAACGUCGUGAGACAGUUCGGUCCCUAUCUGCCGUGGGCGCUGGAGAACUGAGGGGGGCUGCUCCUAGUACGAGAGGACCGGAGUGGACGCAUCACUGGUGUUCGGGUUGUCAUGCCAAUGGCACUGCCCGGUAGCUAAAUGCGGAAGAGAUAAGUGCUGAAAGCAUCUAAGCACGAAACUUGCCCCGAGAUGAGUUCUCCCUGACUCCUUGAGAGUCCUGAAGGAACGUUGAAGACGACGACGUUGAUAGGCCGGGUGUGUAAGCGCAGCGAUGCGUUGAGCUAACCGGUACUAAUGAACCGUGAGGCUUAACCUUACAACGCCGAAGGUGUUU
Molecule: ribosomal RNA, 2931 nt
Filed under: Escherichia coli
Lineage: Bacteria; Pseudomonadati; Pseudomonadota; Gammaproteobacteria; Enterobacterales; Enterobacteriaceae
Description: 23S ribosomal RNA
Rfam family: Bacterial large subunit ribosomal RNA
Source: RNAcentral